RNAcentral lists this non-coding RNA (29 nucleotides) under Mus musculus (house mouse). The record is from RNAcentral. Lineage: Eukaryota; Metazoa; Chordata; Mammalia; Rodentia; Muridae.
UAUCACCGAAGACUUGGUUUAUGCUUAUU